GCGCAGGCGCGGCAGCGCGCGCGCAGGCGCGGGGCGCUCUUCCUGAGGCCCGUUGGCGGCAGGCGCGCGGCAGGACCUGGUACUACAAAGCGACCGUAACCUCAGCGAUGGAGAGUGCAGAUAGUACCGAGGAGGAGAAGCCGACCGUGAGCAAUGACAACACAGACAAUGGCACUGAAACGGCAACAGAAGAACAGAAUAUGGACUUCAGUACUGAAAUCAUGAGUGUAACUGAGAUGGAACAGUCUCCUGACAGUUCUGCUGACGUGAACGAAGAGAACACACAGGAGAGUGAAAUUCCAAACAUUGAAAGUUUACAGACGACAGAUAUUGAGACUUGCUUCCCUCCAGAUUUUGACAAGUUCUGGAAAGUAGUGGAGGACAAUCCCCAGGAUUUCACCGGAUGGGUAUAUCUGCUGCAGUAUGUAGAGCAGGAGAACCACUUACCAGCUGCCAGGAAAGCAUUUGACAGGUUUUUCACGCAUUAUCCAUAUUGCUAUGGGUAUUGGAAAAAGUACGCAGACCUGGAGAAGCGACACGACAACGUUAAGCAGUCUGAUGAGGUGUAUCGCAGAGGGCUUCAGGCAAUUCCUCUUAGUGUUGAUCUUUGGAUACAUUAUAUAAACUUCUUAAAGGAGACCUUGGACCCUGCUGAUCCUGAAACUAACAGUACUAUUCGGGGAGCCUAUGAACAUGCAGUGUUAGCUGCUGGGACAGACUUCCGUUCUGACAGGCUAUGGGAAAUGUAUAUAAACUGGGAAAAUGAGCAGGGAAACCUAAGGGAAGUCACUUCCAUCUAUGACCGCAUCCUUGGGAUUCCAACGCAGCUCUACAGUCAUCACUUCCAGAGGUUUAAAGAACAUAUACAGAACAACUUGCCUCGAGACUUUCUGACUACUGAUCAGUUCAUUCAGCUGCGCAGAGAACUGGCAUCUGUUAAUGGCCACAGCGGGGAGGACGCUCAGCCUGUAGAUGACCUGCCCACUGGUGCUGAAGACAUAACUGACCCUGCCAAGCUAAUCACUGAGAUAGAGAACAUGAGGCACAGAAUCAUUGAGAUUCAUCAGGAAAUAUUUAACCACAACGAACACGAAGUCAGUAAGAGGUGGACGUUUGAAGAAGCGAUCAAGAGGCCUUACUUUCAUGUAAAACCUCUGGAGAAAAUUCAGCUGAAAAACUGGAAAGAGUACUUAGAGUUUGAGAUAGAAAAUGGCACUCACGAGCGAGUUGUGGUCCUCUUUGAGAGAUGUGUCAUUUCAUGUGCCCUCUAUGAGGACUUCUGGAUCAAGUAUGCCAAAUACAUGGAGAAUCAUAGUAUUGAAGGAGUGAGGCAUGUCUACAGCAGGGCUUGCACGAUACAUCUUCCUAAGAAACCAAUGGUGCACAUGCUGUGGGCAGCCUUUGAGGAGCAGCAGGGCAACAUCGAUGAAGCAAGAAGAAUCUUGAAAACCUUUGAAGAGUGUAUACUAGGGCUAGCAAUGAUCCGCUUGCGACGAGUGAGCUUAGAGCGCAGACAUGGCAACAUGGAGGAAGCCGAGCACCUGCUGGAGGAAGCUGUCAGGAAUGCCAAGUCCAUUAGCGAGUCAUCAUUUUAUGCCAUCAAGUUAGCUCGGCACCUCUUCAAAGUGCAGAAAAAUCUUCCAAAGGCAAGAAAAGUCCUGUCAGAAGCCAUAGAAAUUGACAAAGAAAAUACCAAACUGUAUCUCAACCUACUGGAAAUGGAGUACAGUGGUGACCUCAAGCAAAACGAGGAGAACAUCUUGAGCUGUUUUGACAAAGCUGUCAACGGUGCAUUGUCUAUAAAAAUGAGGAUUACAUUUUCUCAGCGCAAAGUGGAAUUCCUUGAAGAUUUUGGUUCUGAUGUAAACAAACUGCUGGAUGCCUAUGAUGAACACCAGGCACUCCUGAAGGAGCAGAAUUCUCUGAAAAGGAGAGCAGAGAACGGGUCAGAAGAGCCAGAUGAAAAGAAAAUGUUGACAGAUGACCCAACGUUGGCAUCAGCACAGAUGAUGGAUGGUGACAUGCAGGUCAAUCAGGCAGCAUACAACUACAAUGCCUGGUACCAGGUAGGUGUCUGCUGGGUUCUUCCACUCUUCAUGCCCACAUAGACGGGUGUCACACUGACACUGCUCAGUCUGGGGCCCAGGGUCAGUUGGUGAGGAAAGUUUGGAGGGAAAACUUAUCUCCUGUGUUUGCUGAUAACUUUUUGACCUGUAGACAAGUGUAAAAUAUUUCUUGAGGAGCAAGAGCAGUGUUUUGUGCUAGCUCUUCUUGGAAGAGCAGUAUGACAGCAGCUAGGACACUUCUGGCUGAGGGCAGUAGACCUGUCAUGCUUAAAUGUUUGCCCAGGAAUUGCUUGGGAUGCCAAUUCACUUGUGUGUUUUGUAGUCAUUUUCUCUAACUAGUAGCUCCUGUGCUGCCUCAGGGGUCUCUGCCACACCGGUACAAGCUGUGUGCCAGACCACCCUCAUUCAUCAGCUCACCCUUGGGACUGAUCUUGGCAUGGCAUUUCCUUUCAUUCCUUGUAAGAGCCUAAAGAGUGAAUCAAGAAUAUCCAGCCUUGGUUUCCUGUGGCUUGUGGCAACAGCACGUGCCCUGCCGACUUCUAGGCUGAGGUCCAUUUAGGCUGAUGGUCUAUUUGGUUUAGGCCCUUUCCAAGAACUGGGCUGUAAAGUCCCACUUCAAGCCCUGCCUCUGUGUGAGACUGAGCCUGGUCAAAGUGAGUUCUUCUGAUGUCCUCUUAGUGGAUACAGUGACAUGGCAAGGUGUGAAGUACUUGAUGUGUUGUGUGUCAUAGAGGGUCCAACUGGGACUCUUGCUGAAGCAACUUAAAAAUUCUUGUUGAGACCAGAAAGAGCCCCUGAGAACAGCAUUGCAGAGGGGACACAGACCAGCUGUUGUGUAGCUGGGGUUUAGUAUCGCCGAUAUGAGGGGUGAGUGUUGUUUCCAAAGUCAGGUGGUGAAAAGAGUCUCACCCAGCAUGAGGAAACUGCUCAGCACUAGGCUGGGAAAAACGCCCCAAGUUUCCAAACACAGAAUGGUGUGAAUAGCAAACUUAGGGUAUUGAUGGAGUCUCGGUCCUGUGGGUGACCUGGUGCAGUCUGCUGAAGAACAGCAGGCAGAAAUGCUUCCUGAGGAAUGGGGCCUUGCCACCCCAAUGACAUUAUGCUACUGAAUGCCUGCCUGGGCUCAGCCGCUGCAGUGGGACCACAGGACCUGCCUCUGAGAGCUUUAGAGGGAGCAGUGUCUGGGUGCUUGAGCUGUCUGCCCUGGCUCUUGAGGGUGUGCUGUCAUGGGAGCUACAAAACACACCAUUCCUGCUUCUGUGGCCCUCUGCUCCCCUUUCUCUUCUCCCUUACUGGAUUCUGCUGAAGGGGAAGUGAUGAGGAUGAGGAACUAUAUAGAGUGGGGAGCAAGGAGGGGACCCGAGGAGCAUGACCUGUCCUGCAUGGGAGGACUGACAACACGCAUGUUUAUUCAGUGACUAAAACCAUGAUGGGCAGCUGACCAGCCUCUGCGCUGCCCUCGAUCUGAGCCGUGCCCUGCCCUGGGAGCCGACCCACAGGGCAGUUUUAGCUCCCCAACAGAGCCGACUGCAGUGGAUGUCGGGGGUGGGCCUUGUGGGCCGUGCCCUGCAGAGGAGCAGCACUCCCGCUUGUUCCCAGCGCCGGAGCGGGCGCAGGCUGCUGCGUGCCAGGCCGCGUACAACUACCAGAACGCGUGGAAUUAUGGACAGUAUUAUCAUCCCACCUGAUCCGAGGAGCGAGGGAAGUUCACUGUGCUGCAGUUUCAACAAAGAUGGAAUAAUAAAAAAUAUAUUUUUCUAAA
Molecule: RNA transcript, 3828 nt
Organism: Colius striatus (speckled mousebird)
Lineage: Eukaryota; Metazoa; Chordata; Aves; Coliiformes; Coliidae
Gene: PRPF39
Gene name: pre-mRNA processing factor 39
Exons: 14
Source: RefSeq, a predicted model, not a curated record